Molecule: ribosomal RNA, 166 nt
Filed under: uncultured bacterium
Lineage: Bacteria
Description: partial 16S ribosomal RNA
Rfam family: Bacterial small subunit ribosomal RNA
Source: RNAcentral
UAGUAAUGGCAGGUCAGCAUACUGCCGUGAAUACGUUCCCGGGCCUUGUACACACCGCCCGUCACACCAUGAGAGUUGGGAAUACCCGAAGCCUGUGAGCUAAACAUUUAUGAGGCAGCAGUCGAAGGUAGAAUCAAUGAUUGGGGUGAAGUCGUAACAAGGUACC